Molecule: small nuclear RNA, 107 nt
Organism: Ochlerotatus camptorhynchus
Lineage: Eukaryota; Metazoa; Arthropoda; Insecta; Diptera; Culicidae
Source: RefSeq, a predicted model, not a curated record
GUCCUAGCUUCGGCUGGACAUAUACUAAAAUUGGAACGAUACAGAGAAGAUUAGCAGGGCCCUGCGCAAAAAAAAACUGCUCACCACAACACUGGCAUCGGAUCACU